This 497-nucleotide ribosomal RNA is filed under the name uncultured bacterium. RNAcentral's name for it is "partial 16S ribosomal RNA". It matches the Rfam family "Bacterial small subunit ribosomal RNA", at positions 28 to 507 of the family's 1533-position model. The record is from RNAcentral.
GAUGAACGCUGGCGGCGUGCCUAAUACAUGCAAGUCGAGCGAACAGACGAGGAGCUUGCUCCUCUGGCGUUAGCGGCGGACGGGUGAGUAACACGUGGAUAACCUACCUAUAAGACUGGGAUAACUUCGGGAAACCGGAGCUAAUACCGGAUAAUAUAUUGAACCGCAUGGUUCAAUAGUGAAAGACGGUUUUGCUGUCACUUAUAGAUGGAUCCGCGCCGCAUUAGCUAGUUGGUAAGGUAACGGCUUACCAAGGCAACGAUGCGUAGCCGACCUGAGAGGGUGGUCGGCCACACUGGAACUUAAACACGGUCCAGACUCCUACGGGAGGCAGCAGUAGGGAAUCUUCCGCAAUGGGCGAAAGCCUGACGGAGCAACGCCGCGUGAGUGAUGAAGGUCUUCGGAUCGUAAAACUCUGUUAUUAGGGAAGAACAAAUGUGUAAGUAACCAUGCACGUCUUGACGGUACCUAAUCAGAAAGCCACGGCUAACUACGUG